This 230-nucleotide long non-coding RNA is filed under the name Elaeis guineensis (African oil palm). RNAcentral's name for it is "long non-coding RNA (EGUI_LNC005419)". The record is from RNAcentral. Lineage: Eukaryota; Viridiplantae; Streptophyta; Magnoliopsida; Arecales; Arecaceae.
GGGUAGAUAUGGAGACCGACUAGUCUAGAUCAUGAACUUUAAAGGUGCCUGUAUUGAAUUGUCUCACAUAGUCCUUAAGAGACUUUCCCUCUCUCUGCUGGAUAUUGACGAGGAAAUCUAACAUGCGGUAUUGUCUUCUACUAUUAUUGAAGUGUGCCCCAAACAUCCCAUUGAGCUGCUCGAAGGAAUGGAUCAUGCUUGACUAAAAGCUCAAGUACCAAUAUCAGGCC